Molecule: ribosomal RNA, 427 nt
Filed under: uncultured bacterium
Lineage: Bacteria
Description: bacterial SSU rRNA
Rfam family: Bacterial small subunit ribosomal RNA
Source: RNAcentral
UGGGGAAUUUUGGACAAUGGGCGCAAGCCUGAUCCAGCCAUGCCGCGUGCAGGAUGAAGGCCUUCGGGUUGUAAACUGCUUUUGUACGGAACGAAAAGUCUCUUUCUAAUAAAGAGGGAUCAUGACGGUACCGUAAGAAUAAGCACCGGCUAACUACGUGCCAGCAGCCGCGGUAAUACGUAGGGUGCAAGCGUUAAUCGGAAUUACUGGGCGUAAAGCGUGCGCAGGCGGUCUUGUAAGACAGUCGUGAAAGCCCCGGGCUUAACCUGGGACCUGCAUUUGUGACUGUAUAGCUAGAGUACGGUAGAGGAGGAUGGAAUUCCGCGUGUAGCAGUGAAAUGCGUAGAUAUGCGGAGGAACACCGAUGGCGAAGGCAAUCCCCUGGACCUGUACUGACGCUCAUGCACGAAAGCGUGGGGAGCAAACA